RNAcentral lists this ribosomal RNA (495 nucleotides) under uncultured bacterium. Its description in RNAcentral is "bacterial SSU rRNA". It matches the Rfam family "Bacterial small subunit ribosomal RNA", at positions 1035 to 1529 of the family's 1533-position model. The record is from RNAcentral.
CAGGUGGUGCAUGGCUGUCGUCAGCUCGUGUCGUGAGAUGUUGGGUUAAGUCCCGCAACGAGCGCAACCCUUGUCAUUAGUUGCCAUCAUUAAGUUGGGCACUCUAAUGAGACUGCCGGUGACAAACCGGAGGAAGGUGGGGAUGACGUCAAGUCAUCAUGCCCCUUAUGACCUGGGCUACACACGUGCUACAAUGGACGGUACAACGAGAAGCGAACCUGCGAAGGCAAGCGGAUCUCUUAAAGCCGUUCUCAGUUCGGACUGUAGGCUGCAACUCGCCUACACGAAGCUGGAAUCGCUAGUAAUCGCGGAUCAGCACGCCGCGGUGAAUACGUUCCCGGGCCUUGUACACACCGCCCGUCACACCAUGAGAGUCUGUAACACCCAAAGCCGGUGGGAUAACCUUUAUAGGAGUCAGCCGUCUAAGGUAGGACAGAUGAUUAGGGUGAAGUCGUAACAAGGUAGCCGUAGGAGAACCUGCGGCUGGAUCACCUC